AUGACGAACACAAAGGGAAAGAGGAGAGGCACCUGAUAUAUGUUCUCUAGGCCUUUUAGAAAACAUGGAGUUGUUCCUUUGGCCAUGUAUAUGCGAAUCUGUAAGAAAGGUGAAAUUGUAGACAUCAAGGGAACGGGUACUGUUCAAAAAGGAAUGCCCCACAAGUGUUACCAUGGCAAAACUGGAAAAGUCUACAACGUGACCCAGCAUGCUGUUGGCAUCGCUGUAAACAAGUUAAGGGCAAGAUUCUUGCCAAGAGAAUUAAUGUGCGUAUUGAGCACAUUAAACACUCUAAGAGCCAAGACAGCUUCCUGAAACGCGUGAAGGAAAAUGAUCAGAAAAAGAAAGAAGCCAAAGAGAAAGGUACGUGGGUUCAACUGAAGCACCAGCCUGCUCCACCCAGAGAAGCACACUUUGUGAGAACCAAUGGGAAGGAGCCUGAGCAGCUGGAACCUAUUCCCUAUGAAUUCAUGGCAUAA
Molecule: long non-coding RNA, 479 nt
Filed under: Homo sapiens (human)
Lineage: Eukaryota; Metazoa; Chordata; Mammalia; Primates; Hominidae
Description: long non-coding RNA NONHSAT053811.2
Source: RNAcentral